RNAcentral lists this ribosomal RNA (253 nucleotides) under uncultured bacterium. Its description in RNAcentral is "partial 16S ribosomal RNA". It matches the Rfam family "Bacterial small subunit ribosomal RNA", at positions 524 to 776 of the family's 1533-position model. The record is from RNAcentral.
GACAGAGGGUGCAAACGUUGUUCGGAAUUACUGGGCGUAAAGCGCACGUAGGCGGCUUGGCAAGUCGGAUGUGAAAUCCCUCGGCUCAACCAAGGAAGUGCAUCCGAAACUGCUGAGCUUGAGUACUUAAGAGGAUCGCGGAAUUCCCGGUGUAGAGGUGAAAUUCGUAGAUAUCGGGAGGAACACCGGUGGCGAAGGCGGCGUUCUGGACUGCAACUGACACUGAGGAACGAAAGCCAGGGGAGCAAACGGG